UACGUAGGGUGCAAGCGUUAAUCGGAAUUACUGGGCGUAAAGCGUGCGCAGGCGGUUGGGUAAGACAGAUGUGAAAUCCCCGGGCUCAACCUGGGAACUGCAUUUGUGACUGCACAGCUGGAGUGCGGCAGAGGGGGAUGGAAUUCCGCGUGUAGCAGUGAAAUGCGUAGAUAUGCGGAGGAACACCGAUGGCGAAGGCAAUCCCCUGGGCCUGCACUGACGCUCAUGCACGAAAGCGUGGGGAGCAAACAGG
RNAcentral lists this ribosomal RNA (253 nucleotides) under uncultured bacterium. RNAcentral describes it as "partial 16S ribosomal RNA". It matches the Rfam family "Bacterial small subunit ribosomal RNA", at positions 524 to 776 of the family's 1533-position model. The record is from RNAcentral.